UGUUAUUGUUGAAGGAUUUUUGUGGUUAUGGUGAUUUAAGAAGACGAAAGCGUCCUUUCCGUCGCUGUUGCUUCGGAGUACCAGUUCUCGAAACCUCCUUAGCUUUGAAAAUCUUGCUCUUUUUGCAGACCUCCGGCGAAGUCUCGACGGCUUUCCUUUCCCAAGCGCAGGACGGUCCCGCUGGUUCAUCUGCUUCCGAGGACGAAACCGACGAAACUUGAUCAUGCUCCU
RNAcentral lists this unclassified non-coding RNA (231 nucleotides) under Hevea brasiliensis (rubber tree). Lineage: Eukaryota; Viridiplantae; Streptophyta; Magnoliopsida; Malpighiales; Euphorbiaceae. The record is from RNAcentral.